CCUUGGAAGUUGAAGCACACGAUUAUGGUAAGGGGCGUUACAUUUCCAACACACGCUUGAGGUUUUUGGCCAAUCACAACACAAUGGGUCAGCUGACCAAUCAAAGCGCUCUGGACUGUUCGGAAGGAGGGGCUUUGGAGAAACCGGAACUCAAUCAGAGCGUUUCAGACACACUGGGAAUAGAGAACAACAUGAUUGCCGGCUGACGGGACAAAUUACUAUUGUUGGAGUCUACGAAGAAGAAAUGCAAAAUGAAGUUCCAGUUCUCCUCGUCGAGCCCUCUUCAGGUCACCCCAGAGAUCCUGGACUCUGGCUGGGCCGUUUGAAGAACUUUAACUUGUUUUGGCGAAGCCAUUCGGUUGUUGAUCUGGAGGAUUGCUUUUGGUCAGCGUCACGCUGGAAGGUCUCCCCAUCAAACAGCAGCUACGAAGGUGAAGGCAAAAAAUGUGAAAGCAGCUAAUCGCAUUUCUUCAAACUGUUGCUCAUGCUGCAUGACUGGGAGGCAUAACACACUUAAAGGAAAACGCUAUCUGCCCCUUCAGCAUACAUGGCCUUAGAGAUCUCCACUAUUGGCGAGUGUCGCUGGUGAGAGAGAGCACAGCCAAUUUUUGCUCUCUGGACUCCCGGCCAUGGAUGGCAUUGGCACAGAUUUAAACUUGCGAUCUCCGGAACAUAGGGGUCACAGGGAACCUGGAGCCUAUCCCUAGGAGCAUUGGGCACAAGAUGGGGUACACCCUGGACAGGGUGCCAGUCCAUUGCAGGGCACAAUCACAUACACACUCACAAACCCAUUCAUACACUACAGACAUUUUAGACACACCAAUCAGCCUACCAUGCAUGUCUUUGGACUGGGGGAGGAAACCAGAGUACCCAGAGGAAACCCCCGCAGCACGGGGAGAACACGCAAACUCCACACACACAGGGCCACGGUGGGACUCGAACCCUGGAGCUGUGAGGUGAACAUGCUAACCACUACGCCACCGU
This is a long non-coding RNA of Ictalurus punctatus (channel catfish), 984 nucleotides long. The record is from Ensembl. NCBI's taxonomy places the organism in Eukaryota, Metazoa, Chordata, Actinopteri, Siluriformes, Ictaluridae.